RNAcentral lists this ribosomal RNA (253 nucleotides) under uncultured bacterium. RNAcentral describes it as "partial 16S ribosomal RNA". It matches the Rfam family "Bacterial small subunit ribosomal RNA", at positions 524 to 776 of the family's 1533-position model. The record is from RNAcentral.
UACGUAGGUGGCAAGCGUUGUCCGGAUUUACUGGGCGUAAAGAGCGCGCAGGCGGUCGUUCAAGUCGCGUGUGAAAGCCCCCGGCUCAACUGGGGAGGGUCACGCGAUACUGAUCGACUCGAAGGCAGGAGAGGGUAGUGGAAUUCCCGGUGUAGUGGUGAAAUGCGCAGAUAUCGGGAAGAACACCCGUGGCGAAGGCGGCUCUCUGGGACGGUACUGACGCUGAGACGCGAAAGCGUGGGGAGCGAACAGG